This 407-nucleotide ribosomal RNA is filed under the name uncultured bacterium. RNAcentral's name for it is "partial 16S ribosomal RNA". It matches the Rfam family "Bacterial small subunit ribosomal RNA", at positions 28 to 526 of the family's 1533-position model. The record is from RNAcentral.
GAUGAACGCUAGCUACAGGCUUAACACAUGCAAGUCGAGAGACCGGCGCACGGGUGAGUAACGCGUAUCCAACCUACCCAAUACUCAGGCAUAACCCGUUGCAAGACGGACUAAUUCCUGAUGGUGUUGGAUGGGGAUGGGUUGGAUUAGUUUGUUGGUGAGGUAACGGCUCACCAAGAAGUCGAUCAGUAGGGGUUCUGAGAGGAAGGUCCGCCACAUUUGAACUGAGGCACGGGCCAAGCUCCUACGGGAGGCAGAAGUGAGGAAUAUUGGUCAAUGGAUGCAAAUCUGAACCGGCCAAGUAGCGUGCAGGAUGACGACCUAUGGGUUGUAAACUGCUUUUAUGGGGGUAUAUGUAUCACAUGAAUAAGGACCGGCUAAUGCCGUGCCAGCAGCCGCGGUAAUUC